ACGAACGCUGGCGGCGUGCUUAACACAUGCAAGUCGAACGGUGACGAGGAGCUUGCUCCUCUGAUCAGUGGCGAACGGGUGGGUAACACGUGAGUAACCUGCCCCAGACUCUGGAAUAAACAGUUGGAAACAGCUGCUAAUACCGGAUACGAGACGGAGAGGCAUCUCUACCGUCUGGAAAGUUUUUCGGUCUGGGAUGGACUCGCGGCCUAUCAGCUUGUUGGUGAGGUAAUGGCUCACCAAGGCGACGACGGGUAGCCGGCCUGAGAGGGCGACCGGCCACACUGGGACUGAGACACGGCCCAGACUCCUACGGGAGGCAGCAGUGGGGAAUAUUGCACAAUGGGCGAAAGCCUGAUGCAGCAACGCCGCGUGAGGGAUGACGGCCUUCGGGUUGUAAACCUCUUUCAGUAGGGAAGAAGCGAAAGUGACGGUACCUACAGAAGAAGCACCGGCUAACUACGUG
RNAcentral lists this ribosomal RNA (466 nucleotides) under uncultured bacterium. RNAcentral describes it as "bacterial SSU rRNA". It matches the Rfam family "Bacterial small subunit ribosomal RNA", at positions 29 to 507 of the family's 1533-position model. The record is from RNAcentral.